UCGCGGCUUAUCACCGGCAGUCCCCUUAGAGUGCCCAACUAAAUGAUGGCAACUAAGGGCGAGGGUUGCGCUCGUUGCGGGACUUAACCCAACAUCUCACGACACGAGCUGACGACAGCCAUGCAGCACCUGUCACCGGUCCAGCCGAACUGAAGGCCUCCAUCUCUGAGGGCCGCGACCGGGAUGUCAAGGGCUGGUAAGGUUCUUCGCGUUGCUUCGAGUUAAACCACAUGCUCCACCGCUUGUGCGGGCCCCCGUCAAUUCCUUUGAGUUUCAGCCUUGCGGCCGUACUCCCCAGGCGGGGCACUUAAUGCGUUAGCUACGGCGCGGAAAACGUGGAAUGUCCCCCACACCUAGUGCCCAACGUUUACGGCAUGGACUAC
Molecule: unclassified non-coding RNA, 383 nt
Filed under: uncultured bacterium
Lineage: Bacteria
Description: contains 16S-23S intergenic spacer region
Source: RNAcentral